UACGUAGGGUGCAAGCGUUACUCGGAAUUACUGGGCGUAAAGCGUGCGCAGGCGGUUUGGUAAGUCUGUCGUGAAAUCCCCGGGCUCAACCUGGGAAUGGCGAUGAAGACUGCAAGGCUAGAAUCUGGCAGAGGGGGGUAGAAUUCCACGUGUAGCAGUGAAAUGCGUAGAGAUGUGGAGGAACACCGAUGGCGAAGGCAGCCCCCUGGGUCAAGACUGACGCUGAUGCACGAAAGCGUGGGGAGCAAACAGG
Molecule: ribosomal RNA, 253 nt
Filed under: uncultured bacterium
Lineage: Bacteria
Description: partial 16S ribosomal RNA
Rfam family: Bacterial small subunit ribosomal RNA
Source: RNAcentral